CAAAGCCUGACCCGGAUGAGAUUUUCCUCAGACUCCAAUUAGUGCACCUUUGCUUCUUCUAAAUGCCUACCAUUUCUUCUAUACUCCGGCGGGAAAUCCACCGGAAACCGCACGUUCUUUGCCGGCGAUCACUAUUUUCUACUGCGCCGCCGGCGACGAAGGACCACAAUGCUACUCAAAAGAUUGAAAAAAUACUUAUAGCUAAUAGAGGCGAAAUAGCUUGUAGAAUCAUUAGAACCGCCAAAAGGCUAGGGAUUCGUACUGUCGCCGUCUACAGCGACGCCGAUAGGUACAGUCUGCACGUAAAAUCGGCCGACGAGGCAGUUCGUAUUGGUCCUCCGCCGGCGCGUCUGAGCUACUUGAACGCUCCAACAAUUGUGGAAGCCGCAGCUCGGACUGGAGCACAGGCUAUCCACCCAGGUUAUGGUUUCUUAUCGGAAAGUGCUGAUUUUGCUCAACUCUGUGAAGAUGGAGGUUUGAUCUUUAUUGGACCUCCUGCAUCUGCAAUCCGUGAUAUGGGCGACAAAAGUGCUUCAAAGAGAAUAAUGGGUGCAGCAGGGGUGCCACUUGUACCUGGAUAUCACGGUGAAGAACAAGAUGUUGACUUAAUGAGGUCAGAAGCAGAGAAAAUUGGCUAUCCUAUUUUAAUCAAGCCGACUCAUGGAGGUGGAGGGAAGGGCAUGAGAAUUGUUCAAAGUCCUAGUGAAUUUGUUGAUUCAUUCUUGGGGGCUCAACGAGAGGCUGCUGCAUCUUUUGGCAUAAACACAAUCUUGCUUGAGAAAUAUAUUACUAAACCAAGGCACAUUGAAGUCCAGAUAUUUGGUGACAAACAUGGUAAUGUUAUCCAUCUCCAUGAGAGAGAUUGCAGUGUUCAAAGAAGGCACCAAAAAAUAAUUGAAGAAGCUCCUGCUCCAAAUAUUGAUAGUGAGUUCCGGACCCACUUGGGUCAAUCUGCUGUAUCUGCAGCUAAGGCAGUUAAUUAUCAUAGUGCUGGUACUGUGGAAUUUAUUGUUGAUACUCUUUCAGGAGAAUUUUAUUUUAUGGAGAUGAAUACCCGCCUUCAGGUUGAACACCCUGUUACUGAGAUGAUUGUUGGUCAAGAUCUUGUGGAGUGGCAAGUACGUGUUGCAAGUGGGGAGUCUCUUCCUUUGAGCCAAUCACAGGUUCCUUUAUCAGGUCAUGCUUUUGAAGCCCGGAUAUAUGCUGAAAAUGUCUCCAAAGGGUUUCUUCCUGCUACUGGGGUUCUUCAUCAUUAUCGUCCUGUUCCAGUUUCAUCAUCAGUUAGAGUUGAGACUGGAGUUGAGGAAGGGGACACUGUAAGCAUGCAUUAUGAUCCCAUGAUUGCCAAGCUUGUAGUAUGGGGAGAGAAUCGCCCUGCAGCAUUGAUAAAAAUGAAAGACUGCUUGUCAAAGUUUCAGGUUGCUGGUUUGCCAACCAACAUAGAUUUCCUGUCUAAACUUGCACACCAUUGUGCUUUUGAAAAUGGUGAAGUGGAAACUCAUUUCAUCGAGCAGUAUAGAGAUGAUUUAUUCAUCAGUGCUGGAAUUGCACAAGAAGCAUGUAAUGCCAUGAGACGUGGUGCAUCUAUUGCUGCUGCUUGCAUUUGCAAAAUGGAGCUCACAGCAUCAAGGGAUAGUGCCCCUGGAGGUCUGUUUUUGUGGUAUGCUGAUCCUCCUUUUAGAGUACAUCGUUUGGCUAGUCGAACUAUGGAACUUGAAGGCGAUGAUGAGUAUAACUAUAAUGGCUCAAAAAGUUUAAAUGUUUCCAUAACCUAUUUGGAUGAUGGGAAAUUCCUAGUUGAGACAGGAGAAAGCACUUCCCCCUGUUUGGAGGUCAAAGUAGAACAGUUAAGCAAUGAAACCUAUAUAGUUGAAGUAGGCUAGCCUAUCCUUUUGACUCCAUUUCCUUGUUUCGUGAUGAAGCAUUUAGCUCUCUAGAUACGGGUUUUUUGGGCUGUGUGGCAACACACAAAAGAUGGUGGUUCAAUUGGACAACCCAUCAGGCUUAGUGGACUGAAGAAGCUCCGGCCUGUUAUCCUUCCACUACAGAGAAGAGGAGGUGUUUGCUGCUCUGUGAAACCAGCCUGACGCAAUACCCUCCGGUCUAAGGGCCAAAGAAGCCUCUGCCUACACAGAGACUCCACGUCCCAACUCACCACUUGGAACGGGCAGAGGCCGGUAAAUAGCACCCCAAAAGCCCACCUUCAAAGGCAAGGCCAAUCAUCCCAUCCCACCAUUUUAAUGCUCCCACUUGGGUUACAGGCUCACGCUACCAAACCCAGCGAAUGUAACUUCUGGCUACGGACUUAUUAAGAAAAUAUAUUCCUCUUCUGGUACCGAUGUGGGAGGGGGUGCGACCCUUUCGUGGGGAAAAAAUGGAGCAGAGAACUCUGAUGUACUCAUGUUGCCUGGUGUUUGACAGAUAUGAUAUUUGCGUUGUAUCAUUGUUCUCCAAAAACUUAGGAAUGUAGAUGAAGCUUUGGUUUUUUUUGAUAUGGAAAUUGCAUCAUUUUUGUUAUAUGCGAAGAAGCAGAGCCAGAGACAUAGCCUGGAAGCUUUGCUUCACUGAAUGGAAUGGCAGAGAUGGGUAUGCUUCUUCCUGCUACUGAGGUUCUUCAUCAUUAUCGUCCUGUUCCAGUUUCAUCAUCAGAUAGCAUUUCUGGGGAUGCAAUUAACCUUAUUGACCGGCUCAAAUCAACAAGUUUGGGCUUCGAACAAAUGACCUUGUGAUUACAAAUUUGUAUCUUUAGCCAUCUUGAUUAGGGUUACCCCAAAUGUUCAUAUUUGGGUUUACACUUUUACAUUUCAUUGAUGUGUACUCAAAAGAUAUGCAAAUAUCAUUGUAAACCAUAGAUUAUGCUUGAGUGGAUAA
RNA transcript from Ipomoea nil (Japanese morning glory), 2871 nucleotides. It is a transcript of the gene named methylcrotonoyl-CoA carboxylase subunit alpha, mitochondrial-like, with no coding region annotated. The record is from RefSeq and is a predicted model, not a curated record. Lineage: Eukaryota; Viridiplantae; Streptophyta; Magnoliopsida; Solanales; Convolvulaceae. The transcript has 16 exons.